CCCGGGUAUAGUGGCAUGCACCUGUGGUCCCAGCUGCUUGGGAGGCUGAGGCAGGAGGAUCACUUGAGCCCAGGAGUUCGAGGCUGCAGUGAGCCAUGAUUGCACCACUGCACUCCAGCCUGGGCAACAGAGUGAAACCCUGUCUCUU
This 148-nucleotide non-coding RNA is filed under the name Homo sapiens (human). Lineage: Eukaryota; Metazoa; Chordata; Mammalia; Primates; Hominidae. The record is from Rfam by way of RNAcentral.